This is a long non-coding RNA of Onychostruthus taczanowskii (white-rumped snowfinch), 1051 nucleotides long. RefSeq lists it as uncharacterized. The transcript has 5 exons. Lineage: Eukaryota; Metazoa; Chordata; Aves; Passeriformes; Passeridae. The record is from RefSeq and is a predicted model, not a curated record.
CCCCCCCCCCCCCCCCUCCCCGGAGCACACCGCGCUCGGUCCGGCCGCCGCGUCCCGCCGCGCUGCCCCGGGCGCUGCCCGCUGAGCAUCUGGAGAGAGGGAGAGAGAGAGAGAGAGAAAGGGCGCGUUCAUGAGGACUACAAAGUUACAAAUAUGGCUCCCCAGUCUCUCUUGCCUGAUCACUGCAAAGAAAUGAAGACGCACUUUAAACUAAACCAUUCGCAACUCACUCGCAGUCCCUGCCUGCCUCUCCCUAGCCCAGCACCCUGCACAAAUAUUUGCCAACUAAACACGCCGAGAGAGAGAGCAGCGAGCAACUUAUUUUUUAUUUAAUGCACGGCCAGCCCCUCUCCGAGGCAUCGCAGCCCGGCACGGGCAGGAGCAGCCCCGGGGAGCCCCCGACCGUCCCCGGAGCGCCCCGCGCCCCCCAAAGCGGGGGGCACGGCCCCCCACACACACAGGUGCUGAGGGAUGAGGAUCCAAGCCCAGAGCUGCUCUUUUCCAAGGAUUUGGGAUUUCCAAACAGUUCCCAUCAGCUGGAGCAGAACUCAGGACAGGAUGGAGAUAAAGUCUCAGCUGUGAGCAUGGAAAAGUUCCAGGAAUAUGGAUAAAACCAGCAGGAAUUAUGUUGGGAAGGGGACGGGAAAAGCUGGAUCCAACUCCAGGUGUGUCCAGAGGUGGCUCCUGGGCUGAAUCCUUGGGAACUUUUCAUGGAAUUUCUGCUCCUGGUGCUGCUGAAAACCUCUGGAAAAGGACUUUUCCCCUGGAAAAAAAGAUUGCUGGGACAAGCUGGGAUUUCAAAGGAAUUUCUGGGAGUCCAGAGCUGCUUUUUCCUUUGUUUUUUUUUUCCAAAGAAAAAUGUGGAUUUUGAUUGUUUGAAGGUGCAGAAAAUUCCUUUUUCUUUCGUUAUUGAGGGAAUUCAUUCCCAGUUCCAAGCCAACAUUCCAUGUUUAAUGCUGCUCCUGUCAGUGUUUGUAUUCCAAGUGUUUGGGAAUUUAAAAAAAAUUGGGGAUUGUAAUAUUGGGAAUAAAUCUGAAGGGUUAUUUUUCCA